Canis lupus familiaris (dog) is the source of this 1160-nucleotide long non-coding RNA. RefSeq lists it as uncharacterized. The record is from RefSeq and is a predicted model, not a curated record. Lineage: Eukaryota; Metazoa; Chordata; Mammalia; Carnivora; Canidae. The transcript has 8 exons.
CUCAUAAGUUCCUAGACAGAAAGAUGAGAAGUAUUUUAUAACCUCAUGUGAGAGAAACUAUGACACAAAAUCCAGAAGCUUAAGUAGACAGCAUCUCAGGAAGAAAUACUGCUGCAUGUAACACAAGUGAGCUGUACUCAGCAUCUUCUGAUCCAAGCUCAUUGAAGAAAAACCUGAAUGAUCUCAAGAGCCCUUCUUUAAGCAACAUCUAUUUUAUCUGGAAAACACAGCUCUGUCAUUUGAAAAUAAAUUGUAAAUACAGAUCACAGAAGAAAUGAAGAUAUCACACACAGAGACAAGAGCACUCCUGAAGGGAGGGAGUUAUUAUCUCUAUAGCCGAGAAGACUGAGGCUCUUAGUGGUUAAGUCACCUGCACAAGCUCAGACGCAAUCUAGCACCACAGAAGAUUUGGUAUUCUCAGAAUCCUGGCUGAUACUGGGGAAAGCGGCUGUUUGAACAUGGUGAGAAGGACUAUGGUGACUGUGGCUCACAGCAGAGACCUGAAUUCAUGCUACAGUAACAGCACAAAGGAUGUGAGGGGAAGGAGAAUCAGCUGUAGUCUGAACACUAGACAAGAGAAGGGUGAGGAAGAACAGCUGCCCUGGCAUGGGGGUAGGCAUCAAAAUAUGUGACUCUAUGAGAUGGACCGCCAGAAGCUAAAGAAGCCACUUUGUGACCAGGAGGGGACAGGGCUGAGGGCAAAAACCAACAUGCUAAGUAUGGCAGAGCAGAAAGAUGGAAAGAAAUGAACUCUAGUGAUAUCAUCAAUCUACCAAGCUAUCCAAUUCCAGAAAUGACCUCAGGCUUCCUUGCUAGGAUUAAACAUGGCCAUCCAAAAUGAACCUACACUUCCCAUUCCUGGAACAGCUGGGUGUAGCCAUCUGGAUCAAGUUCUGGCCAAUGGGAUUUUCGGGAAAGCAAUGUGUAAAUUCUGGAACCUGCCCCUUCCCUUCAUCUCCCCCAUGCUGCCCUCUAGAGCAUGGGCUUGGUAGCAAACCAUUGUGGACAACAUGGGUUAGGUUAAGAUCUAGUAAUGAUGAGGAAAAAGAAGAGAAGGAGCCUGGGUCUCUGGACAGCCUGAUAAAGAAGAGACUUCACCCCAACGUUGGGGCCACUGGCCUCCAGAUGCUUUUAGGUAGUUGAGUCCCAGGAUCCUGCAG